This 99-nucleotide small RNA is filed under the name Vibrio cholerae O1 biovar El Tor str. N16961. Lineage: Bacteria; Pseudomonadati; Pseudomonadota; Gammaproteobacteria; Vibrionales; Vibrionaceae. The record is from RNAcentral.
AUUCAGUGAGCCUCAUUGGCAUUCUGUGCCGAUGGAUGUCGCUUCAUCGAGCGGCUUGCCAGUGGAGUGACAAAUCUUAUGGCAAGACCAACCGUUUUU